RNAcentral lists this ribosomal RNA (486 nucleotides) under uncultured bacterium. RNAcentral's name for it is "partial 16S ribosomal RNA". It matches the Rfam family "Bacterial small subunit ribosomal RNA", at positions 30 to 507 of the family's 1533-position model. The record is from RNAcentral.
AUUGAACGCUGGCGGCAUGCCUUACACAUGCAAGUCGAACGGCAGCACGGGUGCUUGCACCUGGUGGCGAGUGGCGAACGGGUGAGUAAUACAUCGGAACAUGUCCUGUAGUGGGGGAUAGCCCGGCGAAAGCCGGAUUAAUACCGCAUACGAUCCACGGAUGAAAGCGGGGGACCUUCGGGCCUCGCGCUAUAGGGUUGGCCGAUGGCUGAUUAGCUAGUUGGUGGGGUAAAGGCCUACCAAGGCGACGAUCAGUAGCUGGUCUAAGAGGACGACCAGCCACACUGGGACUGAGACACGGCCCAGACUCCUACGGGAGGCAGCAGUGGGGAAUUUUGGACAAUGGGCGAAAGCCUGAUCCAGCAAUGCCGCGUGUGUGAAGAAGGCCUUCGGGUUGUAAAGCACUUUUGUCCGGAAAGAAAUCCUUGACUCUAAUACAGUCGGGGGAUGACGGUACCGGAAGAAUAAGCACCGGCUAACUACGUG